Molecule: small RNA, 664 nt
Filed under: Pongo abelii (Sumatran orangutan)
Lineage: Eukaryota; Metazoa; Chordata; Mammalia; Primates; Hominidae
Description: processed transcript
Source: RNAcentral
GCUUUAGGGUUUUGCUGCUGGCUCUGACUGCCGUCCUGCGAUGGGUUGCGACGGCGGAACAAUACCCAAGAGGCAUGAACUGGUGAAGGGACCGAAGAAGGUUGAGAAGGCAAUUAUUGGUGGGCUCCUGGAUGGGGGCUGGUCACCAGAAACACCAAGCCAAGAUUAGAAGCCUGGAACUUUCAGCCCCACCUCACCCCCAUCCUUCAGGGAGGAGAAGAGGAAUUGGACAUGGAGUUAAUAAUCCAUCAUGCGUACGUGGUGGGGUCUCCAUAAAGAUCCCUGAAGUUGAGGGUUUGGAGAUUUUCUGGGUUGCCGACCACAUCCACAUGCCAGGGGAGUUACCCCAACUCCAUGGGGACAGCCCUGCACUUGGGACCCUUCCAGACUAUACCCUAUGUACUUCUUUAUCUGGCUAUUUUUGUCCUUUAAAAUGUAUUUGUAAUAAAUCAGCAAUGUACAGAUAUGUAGAAACUUAAAAGAAGAAAGACCCUAGAAAAGAAGAGAGACCCUGGUUUUGCAUUUGAAGAAUGGGAAGGAGUGGUGUAGUCUACACAGUGAAGGAAAAAGCAAGAAUGGGAAGGAGUGGGACAUGGAAUAUGAUGUCGACAAAGAUGCUGAAUUAGUGGCCCAGUGGAACUAUUGUACUCUAAGUCAGGAAAUA